GUUCCUGCCUUGACUUCCUUCCCUGACUUCCCUCAGCGAUGGACUGCGAUGUGGAAAUGUGUGGAUUAGAACCUGUGAUUGCCAUGUGUGGCAGGUACUCUGACCCAGGCUGCAUGAGAACAGUGACCCCAGAACAAGUGAGCGGAAAGACUGGCGCUGAGGAGACCACGUUUGCUGGCACAAUUCCUGUCUAUUGGUGUGACCCUUAGUCUCGGUUGACUUGACUGCAUCUGGAAUCAACUAAGAAAUAAACUGCUGGGUAGUUCCUGUAAGAAUUUUACUUGACCAGCAUAUUUGAAGUAAGAAGACCCACCCUGGAUGUGAGCAGUGCCUUCUGGUGGCACCACAGAUAAGGUUCUGGGGAAAGCUUUGCUGUUUGUUACAGAUU
This 388-nucleotide long non-coding RNA is filed under the name Mus musculus (house mouse). Its description in RNAcentral is "predicted gene 7706". Lineage: Eukaryota; Metazoa; Chordata; Mammalia; Rodentia; Muridae. The record is from RNAcentral.